RNAcentral lists this ribosomal RNA (400 nucleotides) under uncultured bacterium. Its description in RNAcentral is "bacterial SSU rRNA". It matches the Rfam family "Bacterial small subunit ribosomal RNA", at positions 355 to 748 of the family's 1533-position model. The record is from RNAcentral.
UAGGGAAUUUUCGGCAAUGGGGGAAACCCUGACCGAGCAACGCCGCGUGAAGGAAGAAGUAAUUCGUUAUGUAAACUUCUGUCAUAGAGGAAGAACGGUGGAUAUAGGGAAUGAUAUCCAAGUGACGGUACUCUAUAAGAAAGCCACGGCUAACUACGUGCCAGCAGCCGCGGUAAUACGUAGGUGGCGAGCGUUAUCCGGAAUUAUUGGGCGUAAAGAGGGAGCAGGCGGCACUAAGGGUCUGUGGUGAAAGAUCGAAGCUUAACUUCGGUAAGCCAUGGAAACCGUAGAGCUAGAGUGUGUGAGAGGAUCGUGGAAUUCCAUGUGUAGCGGUGAAAUGCGUAGAUAUAUGGAGGAACACCAGUGGCGAAGGCGACGAUCUGGCGCAUAACUGACGCUC